GACGAACGCUGGCGGCGUGCCUAAUACAUGCAAGUUGAGCGCUGAAGGUUGGUACUUGUACCAACUGGAUGAGCAGCGAACGGGUGAGUAACGCGUGGGGAAUCUGCCUUUGAGCGGGGGACAACAUUUGGAAACGAAUGCUAAUACCGCAUAAAAACUUUAAACACAAGUUUUAAGUUUGAAAGAUGCAAUUGCAUCACUCAAAGAUGAUCCCGCGUUGUAUUAGCUAGUUGGUGAGGUAAAGGCUCACCAAGGCGAUGAUACAUAGCCGACCUGAGAGGGGGAUCGGCCACAUUGGGACUGAGACACGGCCCAAACUCCUACGGGAGGCAGCAGUAGGGAAUCUUCGGCAAUGGACGAAAGUCUGACCGAGCAACGCCGCGUGAGUGAAGAAGGUUUUCGGAUCGUAAAACUCUGUUGGUAGAGAAGAACGUUGGUGAGAGUGGAAAGCUCAGCAAGUGACGGUAACUACCCAGAAAGGUACGGCUAACUACGUG
RNAcentral lists this ribosomal RNA (497 nucleotides) under uncultured bacterium. Its description in RNAcentral is "partial 16S ribosomal RNA". It matches the Rfam family "Bacterial small subunit ribosomal RNA", at positions 28 to 507 of the family's 1533-position model. The record is from RNAcentral.